RNAcentral lists this ribosomal RNA (164 nucleotides) under Impatiens amoena. RNAcentral describes it as "5.8S ribosomal RNA". It matches the Rfam family "5.8S ribosomal RNA". Rfam says of the family: 5.8S ribosomal RNA (5.8S rRNA) is a component of the large subunit of the eukaryotic ribosome. It is transcribed by RNA polymerase I as part of the 45S precursor that also contains 18S and 28S rRNA. The record is from RNAcentral. Lineage: Eukaryota; Viridiplantae; Streptophyta; Magnoliopsida; Ericales; Balsaminaceae.
AAAAUGACUCUCGACAACGGAUAUCUCGGCUCUCGCAUCGAUGAAGAACGUAGCAAAAUGCGAUACUUGGUGUGAAUUGCAGAAUCCCGUGAACCAUCGAGUUUUUGAACCCAAGUUGCGCCUGAAGCUAUUAGGUUGAAGGCACGUCUGCCUGGGCGUCUCGC